CAUGUGUCAUGUCAAAACAGACAGCUAGUGUAGUAGCCAAAGCCCUACUCACUGAAAUAAUUCCAAAAUGGAGAAUUCCAACCAAAAUCUCAAGUAUAGUGGUUUGCAUUCAAAAUGCAACAUGCCUACCCCUGACAAGAGCUCUGCCUAUUGUACUGAGGGUUAUGAAAAUGUGCACGCGCAAGCAACUUAAUCUGUCAUCUUUUGAGAUUUUGUUUACAGCACCUCCACACAUUGGACUUGGGCGAGGAGGACACCCACCAGACACACCAUUGUGUGAGGACCAACUGGUAAUGUAUUAUGUAUUUUGUAAAAGA
This is a long non-coding RNA of Sander lucioperca (pikeperch), 317 nucleotides long. RefSeq lists it as uncharacterized. The transcript has 3 exons. NCBI's taxonomy places the organism in Eukaryota, Metazoa, Chordata, Actinopteri, Perciformes, Percidae. The record is from RefSeq and is a predicted model, not a curated record.